GCAGUCGAGCGGAUGACAGGAGCUUGCUCCUGAAUUCAGCGGCGGACGGGUGAGUAAUGCCUAGGAAUCUGCCUGGUAGUGGGGGACAACGUUUCGAAAGGAACGCUAAUACCGCAUACGUCCUACGGGAGAAAGCAGGGGACCUUCGGGCCUUGCGCUAUCAGAUGAGCCUAGGUCGGAUUAGCUAGUUGGUGAGGUAAUGGCUCACCAAGGCGACGAUCCGUAACUGGUCUGAGAGGAUGAUCAGUCACACUGGAACUGAGACACGGUCCAGACUCCUACGGGAGGCAGCAGUGGGGAAUAUUGGACAAUGGGCGAAAGCCUGAUCCAGCCAUGCCGCGUGUGUGAAGAAGGUCUUCGGAUUGUAAAGCACUUUAAGUUGGGAGGAAGGGCAUUAAACUAAUACUUUGCUGUUUUGACGUUACCGACAGAAUAAGCACCGGCUAACUCUGUGCCAGCAGCCGCGGUAAUACAGAGGGUGCAAGCGUUAAUCGGAAUUACUGGGCGUAAAGCGCGCGU
This 519-nucleotide ribosomal RNA is filed under the name Pseudomonas sp. RNAcentral describes it as "bacterial SSU rRNA". It matches the Rfam family "Bacterial small subunit ribosomal RNA", at positions 57 to 572 of the family's 1533-position model. The record is from RNAcentral. Lineage: Bacteria; Pseudomonadati; Pseudomonadota; Gammaproteobacteria; Pseudomonadales; Pseudomonadaceae.